Molecule: transfer RNA, 76 nt
Filed under: Microlophus bivittatus
Lineage: Eukaryota; Metazoa; Chordata; Lepidosauria; Squamata; Tropiduridae
Description: tRNA-Trp
Source: RNAcentral
ACUUAGGAUAAUUCUAAACCAAGAGCCUUCAAAGCCCAAAAUAGGGGACCACCCCUAGUUUCUGACCUAAGACUUG